ACGGCCACACUGGCACUGAAACACGGGCCAGACUCCUACGGGAGGCAGCAGUGGGGAAUCUUGCACAAUGGGGGAAACCCUGAUGCAGCGACGCCGCGUGAGCGAUGAAGCCCUUCGGGGUGUAAAGCUCUUUCGGCAGGGACGAUUAUGACGGUACCUGCAGAAGCAGCUGCGGCUAACUACGUGCCAGCAGCCGCGGUAAUACGUAGGCAGCAAGCGUUGUUCGGAGUUACUGGGCGUAAAGGGUGUGUAGGCGGCUCUCUAAGUUUGGUGUGAAAUCUCCCGGCUCAACCGGGAGGGUGCGCCGAAAACUGGGGGGCUAGAGUGCGGGAUGGGAGAGUAGAAUUCCUGGUGUAGCGGUGAAAUGCGUAGAUAUCAGGAGGAAUACCGGUGGUGUAGACGGCUCUCUGGACCGCAACUGACGCUGAGACACGAAAGCGUGGGUAGCAAACAGGAUUAGAUACCCUGGUAGUCCACGCCCUAAACGAUGCAUAUUUGGUGUAGGUCAUUCAGUUGAUCUGUGCCGGAGCUAACGCGUUAAAUAUGCCGCCUGGGGAGUACAGUCGCAAGGCUGAAACUCAAAGGAAUUGACGGGGGCCCGCACAAGCGGUGGAGCAUGUGGUUCAAUUCGACGCAACGCGAAGAACCUUACCUGGGCUCGAACGGCUAGUCAACGAUCGUGGAAACACGGUUACUCCGCAAGGGGGUCUAGUCGAGGUGCUGCAUGGCUGUCGUCAGCUCGUGUCGUGAGAUGUUGGGUUAAGUCCCGCAACGAGCGCAACCCUUGUCCUGUGUUGCCAUGCCGAAAGGCGGAACUCGCAGGAGACCGCCAGCGAUAAGCUGGAGGAAGGUGGGGAUGACGUCAAGUCCUCAUGGCCUUUAUGUCCAGGGCUACACACGUGCUACAAUGGCCGGUACAAUGCGCUGCUAAGUCGCAAGACGGAGCCAAUCGCAAAAAACCGGUCUCAGUUCGGAUUGCAGGCUGCAACUCGCCUGCAUGAAGCUGGAAUCGCUAGUAAUGGCAGAUCAGCACGCUGCCGUGAAUACGUUCCCGGGCCUUGUACACACCGCCCGUCACAUCACGAAAGUGGAUUGUACUAGAAGUCCGCAGUCUGACCCGCAAGGGGAGCAGCGGCCCAAGGUAUGAUUCAUGAUUGGGGUGAAGUCGGAACAAGGUAGCCGUAGGAGAACCUGCGGCUG
RNAcentral lists this ribosomal RNA (1200 nucleotides) under metagenome. RNAcentral describes it as "bacterial SSU rRNA". It matches the Rfam family "Bacterial small subunit ribosomal RNA", at positions 304 to 1520 of the family's 1533-position model. The record is from RNAcentral.